Molecule: ribosomal RNA, 433 nt
Filed under: uncultured bacterium
Lineage: Bacteria
Description: partial 16S ribosomal RNA
Rfam family: Bacterial small subunit ribosomal RNA
Source: RNAcentral
AGCGAACGCUGGCGGCAGGCCUAACACAUGCAAGUCGAACGGAUCCUUCGGGAUUAGUGGCGGACGGGUGAGUAACACGUGGGAACGUGCCCUCUGGUUCGGAACAACUCAGGGAAACUUGAGCUAAUACCGGAUGUGCCCUUCGGGGGAAAGAUUUAUCGCCAUUGGAGCGGCCCGCGUCUGAUUAGCUAGUUGGUGAGGUAACGGCCCACCAAGGCGACGAUCAGUAGCUGGUCUGAGAGGAUGAUCAGCCACACUGGGACUGAGACACGGCCCAGACUCCUACGGGAGGCAGCAGUGGGGAAUCUUGCGCAAUGGGCGAAAGCCUGACGCAGCCAUGCCGCGUGAAUGAUGAAGGUCUUAGGAUUGUAAAAUUCUUUCAGCGGGGACGAUAAUGACGGUACCCGCAGAAGAAGCUCCGGCUAACUUCGUG